This 345-nucleotide long non-coding RNA is filed under the name Selaginella moellendorffii. Its description in RNAcentral is "long non-coding RNA (SMOE_LNC001388)". Lineage: Eukaryota; Viridiplantae; Streptophyta; Lycopodiopsida; Selaginellales; Selaginellaceae. The record is from RNAcentral.
UAGCUCGUCUUCGACAGUGAUGGGAGCUGCGUCAUCUGGAGCAGUGAUAGCUUUGUCUUUGGCUGGUGUGAAAUCUUCUGGUACUCUUUCAGCUUCUUUCUCUUUCUCUUCCUCUUGAGUUCCUUCGUCUUUGGCAGUGAUGGGAGCUGCUUCGUCUGGAACAAUGAGAUCUUUGUCUUCGCCUGGUGUGGAAACUUCUGGUACUGCUUUCUCUUUGUCUUCCUCCUGAGUUUCUGCGAGCUGAGUUCCAUCGUCUUCGGCAGUAAUGAGAGCUGCUUCGUCUAGAGCAAUGUCGCCUUUGUCUUCGGCUGGUGUUGUUGCUUCUUCCUUGUCGUUCUCGUGGAC